RNAcentral lists this unclassified non-coding RNA (1232 nucleotides) under Hevea brasiliensis (rubber tree). Lineage: Eukaryota; Viridiplantae; Streptophyta; Magnoliopsida; Malpighiales; Euphorbiaceae. The record is from RNAcentral.
GGAAAGCCCAAGGGUGGGUUAAAGAAGGCACUAAAAGUUGAACUUGAUAAUGUUAGACGCCUUAGCUUGAGCGAGCAAAAAUUUGAAAAGGUUAUUGCAUCCCACGGAACAGAUGUUGUAAGAUUCACUCAGAAAAACAUUUUGAGGAUAUAUCCUAAGGGUAUUCGGAUUGACUCCUCCAACUACAAGCCAAUGAAUGCUUGGCUGCAUGGAGCUCAAAUGGUUGCACUUAACAUGCAGGGAUAUGGUAAAUCACUUUGGUUGAUGCAUGGGAUGUUUAGAUCAAAUGGAGGGUGUGGUUAUGUCAAAAAGCCUGAUAUUUUUAUGAAUAUGGGUCCAGAAAAUCAGGUAUUUGAUCCUAAAGCAAAAUUGCCAGUGAAGAAAACACUAAAGGUUAAAGUUUAUAUGGGGGAUGGAUGGCAUUUAGAUUUUAAGCGAGCACAAUUUACUUUAUUUUCCUCUCCUGAUUUCUAUAUCAGGGUAAGUUAGAGAUUGCUGCAAGUAUGUUAAUUAAAAAAAAAAAAAUCUACCUCCAUAUCUGCUCUCUAGAAUUUAAAUUUCUUGUUGCCUUAGGUUAUUUUUAUUUGGUUGGUUUCUGUCUGAGUCUAAAAUGACUAAUGUAGAAUCCUUGUUGUAUAUUUCUACUUGUAAACCUCUGGAGAGAAGGUUGGCAUAGCAGGGGCUCCAGCUGAUAAGACAAUGAAGAAAACAAAGAAAAGGGAGAACAAUUGGACACCCAUUUGGGAUGAAGAGUUCACAUUUCCAUUGACUGUUCCAGAAUUGGCUUUGCUUCGUUUUGAAGUUCAUGAUCGUAUAAUGCCUGAGAAGGAUGAUUUUGCAGGUCAAACCUGUUUGCCUGUCUCUCAACUAAGGCCAGGCAUCCGUGCAGUCCCCCUCUUCAAUCGGAAGGGAAAUAAGUUCAGCUCAAUGAGACUUCUUAUGCGGUUCGAGUUUCUAUAGAAACUGCCAAGUUUAGAUGAUGUAUAGAUGAUAAUCCUUUCUUUAAGGCCAAGUAUGUAUAGAUGACAAUUCAUAUCCAUGCACAUGCUUUUACAUACUUAAUUGGAAACUGCUGUAAACACUCAUUAAAUUGAUGAUCAAGUGGAAUAGGUGAUCUCAAGUUCGUGACUUGUAAAGAUAUAUAUGCUCAGAAAUAAAAUAGAUUGUGAACUCACACGGGAAUAUUUCAUGAAUGACUAAGACUUGCUACUUUUGUACUGUGAACACUGAAC